AUACGUAGGGGGCGAGCGUUGUCCGGAAUUACUGGGCGUAAAGGGUGCGUAGGUGGCCUUUUAAGUUGGAUGUGAAAUACCCGGGCUUAACCUGGGGGGUGCAUCUAAUACUGGGAGGCUAGAGUGCAGGAGAGGAAAGCGGAAUUCCUAGUGUAGCGGUGAAAUGCGUAGAGAUUAGGAAGAACACCAGUGGCGAAGGCGACUUUCUGGACCGUAACUGACGCUGAGGCAUGAAAGCGUGGGUAGC
This 247-nucleotide ribosomal RNA is filed under the name uncultured bacterium. RNAcentral's name for it is "partial 16S ribosomal RNA". It matches the Rfam family "Bacterial small subunit ribosomal RNA", at positions 523 to 769 of the family's 1533-position model. The record is from RNAcentral.